This 232-nucleotide long non-coding RNA is filed under the name Panax ginseng (ginseng). RNAcentral's name for it is "long non-coding RNA (PGIN_LNC005299)". Lineage: Eukaryota; Viridiplantae; Streptophyta; Magnoliopsida; Apiales; Araliaceae. The record is from RNAcentral.
UAUGAUCCUAAUUCAGCUUUAGAUGUUCGUAGCAACAAAAAUCCUAACUUGAGAAGAGAUCUUUUGAAAACUAUAUAAGAUUGUUUAUUGCAAAUAAAUCCAUUUCCUAUGAAAUUUCGACAGGCUCACAAUUUUAAGUGAAUGGGAAUUGAUGGGGGUGAAUUUAUCGGCUUAUCUUCACUAUAGUUCUGUAGCAGACCGACGUCGAUAUAAUCUCCCAACAACCGAUGAG